RNAcentral lists this small RNA (548 nucleotides) under uncultured Fusobacterium sp. RNAcentral describes it as "bacterial SSU rRNA". The stretch from base 1 to 341 matches the Rfam family "Bacterial small subunit ribosomal RNA", at positions 1194 to 1533 of the family's 1533-position model. The record is from RNAcentral. Lineage: Bacteria; Fusobacteriati; Fusobacteriota; Fusobacteriia; Fusobacteriales; Fusobacteriaceae.
CAUGCCCCUUAUACGCUGGGCUACACACGUGCUACAAUGGGUAGAACAGAGAGUCGCAAAGCCGUGAGGUGGAGCUAAUCUCAGAAAACUAUUCUUAGUUCGGAUUGUACUCUGCAACUCGAGUACAUGAAGUUGGAAUCGCUAGUAAUCGCGAAUCAGCAAUGUCGCGGUGAAUACGUUCUCGGGUCUUGUACACACCGCCCGUCACACCACGAGAGUUGGUUGCACCUGAAGUAGCAGGCCUAACCGUAAGGAGGGAUGCUCCGAGGGUGUGAUUAGCGAUUGGGGUGAAGUCGUAACAAGGUAUCCGUACGGGAACGUGCGGAUGGAUCACCUCCUUUCUAAGGAGACAAUGUCUUUCUCUAUUCUAUUGGUAAUGUUCUUACAUUACUUCUGAACAUUGGAAACUAUAUAGUAGAACAAAAAUAACUCUAAACAAUUUCUUAGAGUUAGCUGUCAAAAAAAUAGAUUAAAAUAAUUAAGGGCACACAAAGGAUGCCUAAGUAGUAAGAGCCGAUGAAGGACGUGGUAAGCUGCGAUAAGCCUAG